UCGGGUCCCGCGACAACCGAUCUUCGACCGAGCUUCUACAAUGGGACCGGACUCAUCGGUCAGGUCGCUACUCCGAGCUCCCAUGACAACUGACCUUCGACCGAGCUUCUAUAAUAAGCGGUCUCCAUUCAGCCUUCUACAGGAACCAGACUUCGACCAAACCUCCAUAGCGGUUGGAUAUUGGAUGAGCUUCUACGAUGAUCGAGCUCCAGCAGCUAGAUUCCUACAAU
RNAcentral lists this long non-coding RNA (230 nucleotides) under Elaeis guineensis (African oil palm). Its description in RNAcentral is "long non-coding RNA (EGUI_LNC071483)". The record is from RNAcentral. Lineage: Eukaryota; Viridiplantae; Streptophyta; Magnoliopsida; Arecales; Arecaceae.